ACGUGGGUGAUCUGCCCUGCACUUUGGGAUAAGCCUGGGAAACUGGGUCUAAUACCGAAUAUGAUCAUGGCCGUCAUGGGUUGUGGUGGAAAGCUUUUGCGGUGUGGGAUGGGCCCGCGGCCUAUCAGCUUGUUGGUGGGGUAAUGGCCUACCAAGGCGACGACGGGUAGCCGGCCUGAGAGGGUGUCCGGCCACACUGGGACUGAGAUACGGCCCAGACUCCUACGGGAGGCAGCAGUGGGGAAUAUUGCACAAUGGGCGAAAGCCUGAUGCAGCCAUGCCGCGUGUGUGAAGAAGGCC
RNAcentral lists this ribosomal RNA (300 nucleotides) under uncultured Mycobacterium sp. Its description in RNAcentral is "bacterial SSU rRNA". It matches the Rfam family "Bacterial small subunit ribosomal RNA", at positions 115 to 416 of the family's 1533-position model. The record is from RNAcentral. Lineage: Bacteria; Bacillati; Actinomycetota; Actinomycetes; Mycobacteriales; Mycobacteriaceae.